RNAcentral lists this unclassified non-coding RNA (336 nucleotides) under soil metagenome. RNAcentral's name for it is "partial contains 5.8S ribosomal RNA, internal transcribed spacer 2, and large subunit ribosomal RNA". The stretch from base 1 to 120 matches the Rfam family "5.8S ribosomal RNA", at positions 35 to 154 of the family's 154-position model. The record is from RNAcentral.
GAUGAAGAACGUAGCGAAAUGCGAUAAGUAAUGUGAAUUGCAGAAUUCAGGGAAUCAUCGAAUCUUUGAACGCACAUUGCGCCCGCCAGUAUUCUGGCGGGCAUGCCUGUUCGAGCGUCAUUUCAACCAUCAAGCCCCAGGCUUGUGUUGGGGACCUGCGGCUGCCGCAGGCCCUGAAAACCAGUGGCGGGCUCGCUGUCACACCGGGCGUAGUAGAUUUUAUCUCGCUCAGGGCGUGCUGCGGGUUCCGGCCGUUAAAAAGCCUUUUUUACCCAAGGUUGACCUCGGAUCAGGUAGGAAUACCCGCUGAACUUAAGCAUAUCAAUAAGCGGAGGA